GAAGAAUAAACCUUCCUGUAUGAAGCUAACGCCAGCUCAACGUGUGUCUUGACACACUGAGACGACAAAACCUUCGUUGUCUUCUGACUGUAAUGCCGGGGGGCGACCCGACACCCUCCCCAGUCAGCGCUGUUUUAUCUGCAUGAGAGGAAACCUACACAGUGUUGAGAGAUUUUCAUGUUAUGGCUGAUCAGCACGGACUGCCGGUUGCAGGCUUGUAGAGGGAGCAGGGUAAACUCUGGAAGACUGAACGAGUGAAUGGGCUCAAAGAUUGCGGGAGCAGAAACAUCCGUACAGCGGAUUUCCGACCGUCUGACAUGUGACGAGCAGUUUUCAGAGGUUUCCCUCCCUCCGUCCUACCUUUGUCUCUCCUCUCAGCUCGUAGCGUCUGUCUGCUGAGGCUGCAGGCUGUAAUUACCCCGUCAGCCCUCUCGCAUGCAGCUCCAACCUUCAGCAUCACCCUCCUUCCCUCCGGCUCUCAUUAGCUAAGUGAAACGACUCUCUGGACGGCAGCAAUAUGGCGUCUUAAGGCCGGAGCUGUUUAGAAGUGAUUUGGGAGGCAGCAGAUGCAGCUGAUGACAUCCACACUCUUCAUAAAGAGAUCAAGCUCAACUCUAAUCCUGUCCUUCUC
Molecule: long non-coding RNA, 631 nt
Organism: Melanotaenia boesemani (Boeseman's rainbowfish)
Lineage: Eukaryota; Metazoa; Chordata; Actinopteri; Atheriniformes; Melanotaeniidae
Exons: 3
Source: RefSeq, a predicted model, not a curated record